RNAcentral lists this ribosomal RNA (483 nucleotides) under uncultured bacterium. Its description in RNAcentral is "partial 16S ribosomal RNA". It matches the Rfam family "Bacterial small subunit ribosomal RNA", at positions 30 to 506 of the family's 1533-position model. The record is from RNAcentral.
AUUGAACGCUGGCGGCAGGCCUAACACAUGCAAGUCGAGCGGAUGAAGGGAGCUUGCUCCUGGAUUCAGCGGCGGACGGGUGAGUAAUGCCUAGGAAUCUGCCUGGUAGUGGGGGAUAACGUCCGGAAACGGGCGCUAAUACCGCAUACGUCCUGAGGGAGAAAGUGGGGGAUCUUCGGACCUCACGCUAUCAGAUGAGCCUAGGUCGGAUUAGCUAGUUGGUGGGGUAAAGGCCUACCAAGGCGACGAUCCGUAACUGGUCUGAGAGGAUGAUCAGUCACACUGGAACUGAGACACGGUCCAGACUCCUACGGGAGGCAGCAGUGGGGACUAUUGGACAAUGGGCGAAAGCCUGAUCCAGCCAUGCCGCGUGUGUGAAGAAGGUCUUCGGAUUGUAAAGCACUUUAAGUUGGGAGGAAGGGCAGUAAGUUAAUACCUUGCUGUUUUGACGUUACCAACAGAAUAAGCACCGGCUAACUUCGU